AAUUUUCGGCAAUGGGGGCAACCCUGACCGAGCGACGCCGCGUGAGUGAAGAAGGUCUUCGGAUUGUAAAGCACUUUAAGUUGGGAGGAAGGGCUUUAGGUUAAUACCCUGAAGUUUUGACGUUACCAACAGAAUAAGCACCGGCUAACUCUUUGCCAGCAGCCGCGGUAAUACAGAGGGUGCAAGCGUUAAUCGGAAUUACUGGGCGUAAAGCGCGCGUAGGUGGUUAAGUAAGAUGGGUGUGAAAUCCCCGGGCUUAACCUGGGAACUGCUUUCAUAACUGCUGAGCUAGAGUACGGUAGAGGGUAGUGGAAUUUCCUGUGUAGCGGUGAAAUGCGUAGAUAUAGGAAGGAACACCAGUGGCGAAGGCGACUACCUGGACUGAUACUGACACUGAGGUGCGAAAGCGUGGGGAGCAAACA
RNAcentral lists this ribosomal RNA (422 nucleotides) under uncultured bacterium. RNAcentral's name for it is "partial 16S ribosomal RNA". It matches the Rfam family "Bacterial small subunit ribosomal RNA", at positions 360 to 774 of the family's 1533-position model. The record is from RNAcentral.